RNAcentral lists this ribosomal RNA (149 nucleotides) under Bacteroides uniformis. Its description in RNAcentral is "partial 23S ribosomal RNA". It matches the Rfam family "Bacterial large subunit ribosomal RNA", at positions 2759 to 2925 of the family's 2925-position model. The record is from RNAcentral. Lineage: Bacteria; Pseudomonadati; Bacteroidota; Bacteroidia; Bacteroidales; Bacteroidaceae.
UUGGAUAAGUGCUGAAAGCAUCUAAGUACGAAGCCAGCCACAAGAUUAGAUUUCUCAGGGUCGUUGUAGACUACAACGUUGAUAGGAUGCAGGUGUACAGGCAGCGAUGUCAUAGCCGAGCAUUACUAAUUGCCCGUCCACUUUUUGCC